Molecule: ribosomal RNA, 497 nt
Filed under: uncultured bacterium
Lineage: Bacteria
Description: partial 16S ribosomal RNA
Rfam family: Bacterial small subunit ribosomal RNA
Source: RNAcentral
GAUGAACGCUGGCGGCGUGCCUAAUACAUGCAAGUCGAGCGAACGGACGAGAAGCUUGCUUCUCUGAUGUUAGCGGCGGACGGGUGAGUAACACGUGGAUAACCUACCUAUAAGACUGGGAUAACUUCGGGAAACCGGAGCUAAUGCCGGAUAAUAUUUUGGACCGCAUGGUUCAAAAGUGAAAGACGGUCUUGCUGUGACUUAUCGAUGGAUCCGCGCUGCAUUAGCUAGGUGGUAAGGUAACGGCAUACCAAGGCAACGAUGCAUAGCCGACCUGAGAGGGAGAUCCGACACCCUGGAAGUGAGAAACGGUCCAGACUCCUGGGGGGAGCAGCAGUCGGGAAUCUUCCGCAAGGGGCGAAAGCCUGACAGAGCAACGCCGCGUGAGUGAUGAAGGUCUCAGGAUCGUAGAACUCUGUUAGUAGGGAAGAACAUAUGUGUAAGUAACUGUGCACAUCUUGACGGUACCUAAUCAGAAAGCCACGGCUAACUACGUG